CGGCCCGGGCCGUCGCCGGAGAACGGCUGGCCAGCGUCGUGGGGCGCGCUCCUCGGGCGGAGGGACGAUGUGAGGGACGCCGCCGAGCCAGCGCCAGGGGAAGUUGGGGACGAAGGAAAGUAGAGGAAGCGCACAGGUGGCUGAGCAUACAAACUGAAGAAAAAAUUGAAAUGCCAUUUUAAAAACUUGAAAGGUUCCAGGACUACCUCAAAUGUAUUACGUCUCUAAUCAGUCUUUCUCCUUAAAAAUGCCUAUUAUUUCUUGGUGGACUGCAAAGAUUUCUGUUUUAAACCUGCCAGCUUUGAGAUCCUGCAUUUGAGAGCCAGCAUUGGCUGGAUACACCAUGCAAGUGAUAGAGCAUUUGGACCAGGAAGAGAAUUUGGAAGUAAAGGGAAUUGAUGUAGCACAGUGUUCAGUUUUAAGAGCUUCAUCUAGGUGAAGACUCAUAAGUAAUAUACAUAUGGUAUAGCCAAGGUCUUUUAUGAAGGAAAAGUAAUCACAGACAAAAAUUGUCAAAGAAGAAAAUGAAAAAAAGAUGUUGGAAGUGAAAAAAAAAAGG
This 559-nucleotide long non-coding RNA is filed under the name Homo sapiens (human). RNAcentral's name for it is "long non-coding RNA NONHSAT181231.1". The record is from RNAcentral. Lineage: Eukaryota; Metazoa; Chordata; Mammalia; Primates; Hominidae.